GGUCGCGACCUACCCUGUGAGGCCCUACCCUGUAGGGCCCUACCUGGUAGUCGCGGGUACGCCUGCCGGUGGCCCAUGAAACUCUGUUUAUUCUUGUUAUUCUGAAUCUAUAACUAAAUAAGUUAAAACUUUCAACAACGGAUCUCUUGGUUCUGGCAUCGAUGAAGAACGCAGCGAAAUGCGAUAAGUAAUGUGAAUUGCAGAAUUCAGUGAAUCAUCGAAUCUUUGAACGCACAUUGCGCCCAUUAGUAUUCUAGUGGGCAUGCCUGUUCGAGCGUCAUUUCAACCCUUAAGCCCCUGUUGCUUAGCGUUGGGAGCCUACAGCCUUCUGUAGCUCCCCAAAGUUAGUGGCGGAGUCGGUUUACACUCUAGACGUAGUAAAUUUUAUCUCGUCUGUAGUUAGGCCGGUCCCUCGCCGUAAAACCCCCUAAUUCUUAAAGGUUGACCUCGGAUCAGGUAGGAAUACCCGCUGAACUUAAGCAUAUCAU
RNAcentral lists this ribosomal RNA (488 nucleotides) under fungal endophyte sp. P52-014. RNAcentral describes it as "eukaryotic LSU rRNA". The stretch from base 127 to 280 matches the Rfam family "5.8S ribosomal RNA". Lineage: Eukaryota; Fungi. The record is from RNAcentral.